CCUACGGGAGGCUGCAGUGGGGGAUAUUGCACAAUGGGGGAAACCCUGAUGCAGCGACGCCGCGUGGGCGAAGAAGUAUUUCGGUAUGUAAAGCCCUAUCAGCAGGGAAGAAGAAAUCACUGUACCUGUGUAAGAAGCACCGUCUAAAUACGUGCCAGCAGCCGCGGUAAUACGUAUGGUGCAAGCGUUAUCCGGAUUUACUGGGUGUAAAGGGAGCGCAGGCGGCAAGGCAAGCCUGAUGUGAAAGCCCGCGGCGCAACCGGGGGACUGCAUUGGAAACUGCGGAGCUGGAGUGCAGGAGAGGUAGGCGGAAUUCCUAGUGUAGCGGUGAAAUGCGUAGAGAUUAGGAGGAACACCAGUGGCGAAGGCGGCCUACUGGACGGUGACUGACGCUGAGGCUCGAAAGUGUGGGGAGCAAACAGGAUUAGAUACCCCAGUAGUC
This 442-nucleotide ribosomal RNA is filed under the name uncultured bacterium. RNAcentral describes it as "partial 16S ribosomal RNA". It matches the Rfam family "Bacterial small subunit ribosomal RNA", at positions 338 to 795 of the family's 1533-position model. The record is from RNAcentral.